Molecule: ribosomal RNA, 253 nt
Filed under: uncultured bacterium
Lineage: Bacteria
Description: partial 16S ribosomal RNA
Rfam family: Bacterial small subunit ribosomal RNA
Source: RNAcentral
UACGGGGGGGGCAAGCGUUGUUCGGAAUUACUGGGCGUAAAGAGCGCGCAGGCGGUCAGAUAAGUCGAAUGUGAAAGCCCCCGGCUCAACUGGGGAGGGUCAUUCGAUACUGUUCGACUCGAAGGCAGGAGAGGGAAGUGGAAUUCCCGGUGUAGUGGUGAAAUGCGUAGAUAUCGGGAGGAACACCAGUGGCGAAGGCGACUUCCUGGCCUGUUCUUGACGCUGAGGCGCGAAAGCUAGGGGAGCAAACGGG